AUGAACGCUGGCGGCGUGCCUAAUACAUGCAAGUCGAGCGAACAGAUAAGGAGCUUGCUCCUUUGACGUUAGCGGCGGGCGGGUGAGUAACACGUGGGUAACCUACCUAUAAGACUGGGAUAACUUCGGGAAACCGGAGCUAAUACCGGAUAAUAUUUCGAACCGCAUGGUUCGAUAGUGAAAGAUGGUUUUGCUAUCACUUAUAGAUGGACCCGCGCCGUAUUAGCUAGUUGGUAAGGUAACGGCUUACCAAGGCGACGAUACGUAGCCGACCUGAGAGGGUGAUCGGCCACACUGGAACUGAGACACGGUCCAGACUCCUACGGGAGGCAGCAGUAGGGAAUCUUCCGCAAUGGGCGAAAGCCUGACGGAGCAACGCCGCGUGAGUGAUGAAGGUCUUCGGAUCGUAAAACUCUGUUAUUAGGGAAGAACAUACGUGUAAGUAACUGUGCACGUCUUGACGGUACCUAAUCAGAAAGCCACGGCUAACUACGUG
This 496-nucleotide ribosomal RNA is filed under the name uncultured bacterium. RNAcentral's name for it is "partial 16S ribosomal RNA". It matches the Rfam family "Bacterial small subunit ribosomal RNA", at positions 29 to 507 of the family's 1533-position model. The record is from RNAcentral.